UAAAAGCUUAUCAUUAAAUCUUAAUAAUAAUUAAUAAAUAAAUAAAAACUUCAUUUUUCAUAAAUUAAAAAAAAAAAAAAUUCAUAUAAAAUGCCAAACGCCCAAACCACAUCUCAAAAGUCAAGACUUCCUCCACCAUUAAUUGUUUACAUUCUCCUCAGGGAGAGAGAGAGAAAAAUCCUUCUACCUAGAGUAAUUUCAGAUCAUCUAGGACCAUUUGCCCAAAGCCUUUUCGGGUCGAUCUGGUAGUCUUGGAGCUCCGGUUUCGUCGGGUCGUCCGAGUUCCAACGGUAGAUUGAGAAGGCUUCCAGAGAUGUAGAGGUGCGUGUGCUGAUAGUUCGACUUGCUGAGACUCUGUAAGAGUGGUGAAAGGUAUGGCUUUAAUGCCAUAGAGCAAGGAAGCCUCAACGGUGACGCUAUAAAUGACACGUGGUAAGACAUUUGAGCCAUAAAGCUAAGUUCCCUUGCUACAACCAUCAAAGUCCACGUCUAAAAGGAUUGUCAAGUGCCAGAUCAAGCACUGUACUUGCUCUUUUUAGUUGAUCAGCCAUAUCAACAGUGGUUGAUCCUCCCCUGCAUAUCUGCCUUCGUUACUGUGCAGCUGUAAUAAUGUUUUAAUUUCACUGUAUCAAGCAUAUGAACCUGUUGUAAACAUGAUAAGUAAACGGGUGAUGUUUUACUUAAAUUGUAUUUUAUAUUUAGUGUGAUUAAGUAUGGCAUGUAUUUUACUGAUAUAUUUGCAUUUGAUGGUUUUGAAUUUAGCUAAAAAUUCUAUUUUUUGA
Quercus robur (English oak) is the source of this 782-nucleotide long non-coding RNA. RefSeq lists it as uncharacterized. The record is from RefSeq and is a predicted model, not a curated record. NCBI's taxonomy places the organism in Eukaryota, Viridiplantae, Streptophyta, Magnoliopsida, Fagales, Fagaceae. The transcript is spliced from 2 exons.